CCCAUGAGAUGGCAACACGCAUGCACAGCUUUUCUUAGCAACACUAAUUUGCCGUACGGUGUAUGGUGAAUUUUGUUCAGAUUUAUACUUCAAUUAUUCUGUUAAUAAACACACGUAGUGUGUUUCUGCUUAUUAUAAAUUAACCUGCAACCUUCAUAGGUUGAAGUGUUUGAUGUUACAGGUUAUAAUUAAUUGGAAGUAAGUAAUUUUUUUAGGGCUAAUAUUGACAAGAUGGCCUCGCCGCUAUCACCGGCGAAUUUUGCGGAUAUCGAUCGAGGGUCUAACGAGCGUCGGAGCUGGCGCUGCUACCGAUACGGUUGCUAGGCCUAGGCCAAGUAAUAAUAAACUGAAGGACAGUGUGACUGAUCUAUCUCCGAAAGAAUCUAGUGCUAGCGCGGCUAGCACAAGUUGUAACAAGAUGUUACAAAGCCUAAGGCUAAGAAACAUAAGUCUCGGCUUGUCGAGGAAGGCUCGGCCAUUCUUACAAUGUUGACUGAGAUUCGAGAGGGCCAACAAAGAUUUGGCUCGAGGUGGGGGACCUGGAGGAUUUCUGUUAUAACUGUGAGACUGAGGUCGCUGAUCCCCUUGAUAUUCCACAACCUAGCCUACCCGAAGAAAGGGUUGAUGAUAUGGAGAAGGAAUGCACUGUUAGUUUAUUCAAAGAUAUGGCUGGAAAACUUCUUAAUAAGGAAAGUUGUGGCAAAGGCAUAGACCAGGAUCUAGCUAAUAUUGUUAAUACCCUUUUUAGAGAGGGUACUAGUGAGGACAAGUGUACUGACCUAACAAGGAAAACUAGUAGGCCAGAGAAUUGCGAGGGCCUAUCUAAUGUCAGGGUCAACCAGCUGGUUUGGGAUAUAAUUAGACCUGAAAAACUGGUCUUGUAAAAGGAUCAACAUAUUUGACCUAUUUGUUAAAUGAGAUUGCAAAGCAUAAGGAUAGCCCUGAUCUCAUCAAAGACUCAUUGACCUGGGCAUUGAUGCUUUAGCCCUGCUGGGCAAUUCAAAUCGAAAUUUAAAUUUGAGAAGACGGAACUGUAUGAAAUCCGAUUUAAAGAAGGAUUAUUCUCAUCUUUGUUCACCAUCUGCCCCAUUUACUGAUAUGUUGUUUGGCGAUGAUGUCUCGAGGCGAGUUAAAGAUAUUCAGGAAAUAAACAGAGCCGGUAGCAGAAUUAGCACUACAACUACUGGUUUCAAGACCCCAUUCUACAAUACACAGAGAGGCAGAAUGAGAGGUCAUGGCUUUUUCAGAGGCCGCGGUAGGGGCAGAGGGAACUACCACUACCAUGAGUCAAAAAACUACUACAGGGGGAAGGUGAUCAAGUCUCACAAGCAAAAGUAGAGACUCAUCAUACAGAACCCCCAGAAAGAGAAAAAGAUUUCUUGGCUCAGUUGGCACUGGUAGGCAACUUGUCUAAGGAUGACUUGACUGAUAUCAUACACUGUGCCGUCUCAAGUGGCGGAGGAGAUGAACAGACAGCCUGCUUGAUGGUAAAUGAUUUUAAAAAGCGAUUGAAAUCAAACAAACCUGUUGCAAAAGUUAUGGAUGAUGUAGUUACCAAGCCAAAGAAGGGAAAAAAGAAAAAAAAUGAGCCUGAAGAAAAUAAAUAGAUAUCACAAAAGCAAAAAACAAAGCACAUCAACAUAGUGCGGCUUAGUGGAAUAUAUUAUGGUACACUGUUGAUUUGUGUUUUAAGCGCUCAGCGACCCCUUCUAUGCCACAAAUGAAAAACAAAUUAUUCAAAUAGAAUUUAAUAUUUAUUAUAAGAAGCUGUUUUCCUAGCUCAACGAUUACCAUUUACAUUCCUCUUAUCAUUUAAACGUUAAGAUUAAUAACAUGAGGAUGUAAUUGAAACACUUCAAGACUGCUUUGACUCCACAGACUGUCACAAAAAUAUAAUCAUUUCUUUACUAGAUCUUGACAAACUGUUAUACAAAGUUCCACAAAUGAAAAACAAAUUAUUCAGAUAGAAUUUAAUAUUUAUUAUAAGAAGCUGUUUUCCUAGCUCAACGAUUACCAUUUACAUUCCUCUUAUCAUUUAAACGUUAAGAUUAAUAACAUGAGGAUGUAAUUGAAACACUUCAAGACUGCUUUGACUCCACAGACUGUCACAAAAAUAUAAUCAUUUCUUUACUAGAUCUUGACAAACUGUUAUACAAAGUUCUAAUUAUACCCAUUGAUUUUUAAGAGUUAUUUAGGUCUGGGACCUCAAAAAUUUAAAUGACCCUCAAAUUUACACUCGGAUCUUCCCCAACACAUAAUAAUGUUUCCUUGUAACUUGGUUAAAUUUUUCCGCAAGUUUAAUAUAGGUCAGUUGACCCGUUUUUUUUAAAUAUCUGGUGUAGAAUGUUUGCCUUUAAAUCACUACUUUAUUUACAAAAUGUAAUCACCUCAUCAUACCUAACAAUCCCUGUAACUGCCAUUUAGAUCUGUGCAGCUGUUUUUGAGAUAUUUUGAACACAAGAAACACGCACGACCUUAAAAUGUAAAUGACCCUCAAGUUCACACCCUUAUUUGAAUCGUCACCAACACUUAAUAAAAUCUUCCUUGUAACUUGGUUAAACUUCCACCAAAAUUGUAUUUAUAUCAGUUGAUUAGUUGAUUUCUUCAUUGGGUUAUACCUAACACUCUGUGUUAUUUUCAAUUAUGUCUGCUUUUUGAGAUGUCGUAAAAGAAAAAUCACGAAAACACCAAAACGUCACACACACACACACACACACAAACGCAGACAAACUUACACGACUGAAAACAUAUAUCUCCUUGCGGGUA
Molecule: long non-coding RNA, 2766 nt
Filed under: Anneissia japonica
Lineage: Eukaryota; Metazoa; Echinodermata; Crinoidea; Comatulida; Comatulidae
Description: uncharacterized LOC117102147
Source: RNAcentral